AAACGCCUCGUCGAACUCGUCAUCGGAGUAAGGAAACGCAGAGCCAAACGCUAUUCCUUAGAAGCGAAAUUUAAAAAGAAAAAAAAAAAAUCUAGGACAGGAGCGAGGAGAAAAGGGAAAAUGGACGCGGAGUUGCUGGAAUUGCAGAGGCAGUUCGAAUCCGCUCAGCAGGCGAAAUCGAGCAUCCGAUUAUCUGAAAGAAACGUAGUGGAAUUGGUAAACAAGCUUCAAGAGCUCCAGAUAAUCGAUUUCGAACUCCUUCAUACCGUCUCCGGCAAAGAAUACAUCACACCAGAUCAGCUGAGACUGGAAAUAGAGGCAGAGAUUACAAAGUCAGGGCGUGUUUCUCUAAUUGAUCUUGCAGAUAUUAUUGGGGUGGAUUUGUACCAUGUUGAAAAGCAAGCUAAACAUAUAGUGGCAGACAAUGUAGGGCUGAUGCUAAUACAGGGGGAAAUAAUAUCCCAGUCUUAUUGGGAUACCAUAGCAGAAGAGAUAAAUGAGAGGCUUCAGGAGUGUAGUCAGAUUGCAUUGGCGGAGCUUGCUGCUCAGUUGCAUGUCAGCUCGGAAUUAAUAUCGGCUGUUUUAGAGCCCCGCCUUGGAACUCUUGUGAAAGGGAGAAUGGAAGGUGGACAGUUAUAUACUCCAGCAUAUGUUGAACGAAUUACCGCCAUGGUUCGUGGAGCUGCUAGGGGCAUCACAGUUCCGACAAAUUUAUUGACAGUUUGGAGCUCUUUGCAGCAGUUGUUGCUUGAAAUGGAUGGAGCCAAUGGUGUGUCUGUUGAAGGUUCCUUCUUUCAGUCUCUAUUUAAUGGGCUAGUGAAAGAGGGGGAGAUCCUUGGAUCAGUUCGUGCUGGAGUUCACUGGACACCAACUGUGUUUGCCUAUGCUCAAAAGGAAAGUGUAGAUUCUUUCUUCUCACAGAAUUCUUUUAUAAGCUAUGAUGUUCUUCACAAGCUUGCAAUCUCCCAGCCUAAGCAGUAUUUGCAGUCCAGAUAUCCUGAAGGCAUACCACUAGAUUCUGUUUUUGUGCAUCCUUCAAUGAUUGAGAUGUUGGAUUCUGCUGUCGAGGAUGCUAUUGAACAAGGUAGCUGGAUUGAUUGCCUUUCAGUUUUACCAGCGGUGUAUGGAGGUCAAGAUGCUUCUAAGCUUCUAUCACUUUGUCCAUCUGUUCAGAGGGCAAUGAAGUCCAUGAAAGCGACCAUCUUGGGGGAAUCAUGCAUUUUAAGUAAUACCUUUAUCAAGAAUGUGUUUGAUCAAAUUGACAAAGAAACGGAGACCUUUAAUCAAGCAAGGCCUUCUGCUCAUGGGCUAUCAGACAGUUCUCAUUCUGUCAAUGAACAUAAAGGUGGACAAGAUACUAGUCACUUGCCUGAGCGAAACGAGACUAUCGAUGAUGAUUCUGGUAGUAAACAUGUUAUAGAGAAGGGACAAAAGAAGAAAAGAGGAAAAGCCACGGGAUCUUCAAAGGCAGGGGCAGUUGAAAAUACUUCUGACAUUCUAGAAUAUCUUCCUACCAAAUCUAAGAAAAACCAGAGGAAAAACAAGGAUGCAAGUUCGUUACAAGUAGCUGAUGCAAAAUCUAGCGCUAAGAAAGAUUCAGAUAAGAUGAAGGAGGAAAAACUAAACAUUAUUUCUGAAGAGUGGAUAAUGCAGAAGAUUUCACAGCUGUUUCCAGAUUUUGAAGGAUUAGGAGGUCAGGAUGAUCCAGACACAUUCCGUAGAGCUUUGGCAGCUCAUUUGAGGCCUAUGCUGCUAACUUCGUGGAAGGAGAGAAGAAAUGCAUUGUUUAUGGAGAAUUCUGAGAGGAGGCGGCAUUUGCUUGAUAAUCUGCAGAAGAAGCUGGAUGAGUCUUUCUUGGAUCUUCAGCUCUAUGAGAAAGCAUUAGAUCUGUUUGAAGAUGAUCCAUCAACCUCUGUUAAUUUACAGAAACAUCUGCUCAGAACAACAGCUACUUCUAUUAUGGACAUGCUUUUACUCAACCUGGACAUGGACAACAAAAUGAAAAAUGGAAUUGAAGUUGAAGAAUCUCAGAACCUGGAGCCUGCCUCACUGAGUGCUGGGGAUAGAACUUCUAUUGCAAAGAGUCUGCCUGGCUCUCUGUCGGCUAAGGCUGUUGCAGCAGUUGAGGCAUUGGAGGGGAAGCGGUUGGAUACAUUCUUGAAUGCACUAAGAGCAGUAGCAGAGGAAAGUGGGCUACUCUUAAAGAAGCUCGACAAGAAAUUGGAGAGGACACUCUUACAUUCUUACCGUAAAGAUUUGACUACUCAAGUUUCUUCUGAAACUGAUCCGGUUGCACUUCUACCGAAGGUUGUUUCUCUACUUUAUUUGCAGGUGUACAACAAGGCUCUUCAAGCUCCAGGAAGGGCCAUUUCUGUUGCUAUUUCUCGAUUGAAGAAUAAAAUGGAAGAUUCAGCACAUAAGGUCCUACUGGAUUACCACACUGCAACAGUUACCCUUUUAGCUCUUCUAUCCGCUGCAACUGAAGAUGUGAGUUAGCAUACUAUAGGAGGAAGACUGCACAUCGGAUAGAGCACUGAGUAAAAGAGAGUUCUUAGAGAGCCAAAUGCCUGAGCUAAAAGCUGUGGUGUUAAACAACAACCAGACCUGAAAGAAGGAGAAUUAUAGGCAUCCCGAGGAAUGAUCUUGCACAUGUGCCUUGCUCAUUUUGUGCUGCAAAGAGGAUUCUAGCAAAGCUCGUGUAAAGAAAGAAGGGAGCUUGCUUUCACGACCUGAAUGCUUCCCUAAGUUUAGUCCUUUUUCUGAAAGACCCAGUGACUGCUGCUCGUGUUGCCAAAAUACUUGGAACAGUCAAUCAUAUGGGAGAAAAUUGAAGAGAAGAAUUCUUCUGUUAUGUAAGGCCCUGUUAGAAGCAACUAUAGAAAUUAUUCCCUAGGAAUGAUUUCCUUGGAAUUGUUUCCUGAGAAUUGCUUAUGUGAAAAAUUGCGUGUUUGGCAAA
This is an RNA transcript of Magnolia sinica, 2956 nucleotides long. It is a transcript of the gene named E3 UFM1-protein ligase 1 homolog, with no coding region annotated. The transcript has 21 exons. The record is from RefSeq and is a predicted model, not a curated record. NCBI's taxonomy places the organism in Eukaryota, Viridiplantae, Streptophyta, Magnoliopsida, Magnoliales, Magnoliaceae.